Molecule: ribosomal RNA, 535 nt
Filed under: Scedosporium boydii
Lineage: Eukaryota; Fungi; Ascomycota; Sordariomycetes; Microascales; Microascaceae
Description: eukaryotic LSU rRNA
Rfam family: Eukaryotic large subunit ribosomal RNA
Source: RNAcentral
AUUGCCUCAGUAACGGCGAGUGAAGCGGCAACAGCUCAAAUUUGAAAUCUGGCUGCCUCUGGGCGGUCCGAGUUGUAAUUUGAAGAGGAUGCUUUUGGCGAGGUGCCUUCCGAGUGCCCUGGAACGGGACGCCACAGAGGGUGAGAGCCCCGUAUGGUUGGACGCCGAGCCUCUGUAAAGCUCCUUCGACGAGUCGAGUAGUUUGGGAAUGCUGCUCAAAAUGGGAGGUAAACCCCUUCUAAAGCUAAAUACUGGCCAGAGACCGAUAGCGCACAAGUAGAGUGAUCGAAAGAUGAAAAGCACUUUGAAAAGAGAGUUAAAUAGCACGUGAAAUUGUUGAAAGGGAAGCGCUUGCGACCAGACUUGUGCUCGUCGAAUCAGCCGCCCCUCGCGGGCGGCGCACUUCGGCGGGCUCAGGCCAGCAUCAGUUCGCUGCAGGGGGAGAAAGGCGGCGGGAAUGUGGCUCUUCGGAGUGUUAUAGCCCGCCGCGCAAUACCCCUCGGCGGACUGAGGACCGCGCAUCUGCAAGGAUGCU